GGGGAUAAGCGGAAGAAAUUCCGUCUAAUACCGCGUAAUAACUCCGAGGGGCAUCUCUUGGGGUUUAAAGGGUAACACCGGCUACGGAUGGCCAUGCGGCGCAUUAGCUAGUUGGCGGGGUAACGGCCCACCAAGGCGACGAUGCGUAGGGGUUCUGAGAGGAAGGUCCCCCACACUGGUACUGAGACACGGACCAGACUCCUACGGGAGGCAGCAGUGAGGAAUAUUGGUCAAUGGGCGCGAGCCUGAACCAGCCAAGUCGCGUGAGGGAAGACGGUCCUAUGGAUUGUAAACCUCUUUUGUCGGGGAGCAAAAGACGCCACGCGUGGCGUUCCGAGAGUACCCGAAGAAAAAGCAUCGGCUAACUCCGUGCCAGCAGCCGCGGUAAUACGGAGGAUGCGAGCGUUAUCCGGAUUUAUUGGGUUUAAAGGGUGCGCAGGCGGAAGAUCAAGUCAGCGGUAAAAUUGAGAGGCUCAACCUCUUCGAGCCGUUGAAACUGGUUUUCUUGAGUGAGCGAGAAGUAUGCGGAAUGCGUGGUGUAGCGGUGAAAUGCAUAGAUAUCACGCAGAACUCCGAUUGCGAAGGCAGCAUACCGGCGCUCAACUGACGCUCAUGCACGAAAGUGUGGGUAUCGAACAGGAUUAGAUACCCUGGUAGUCCACACAGUAAACGAUGAA
RNAcentral lists this ribosomal RNA (677 nucleotides) under uncultured bacterium. RNAcentral describes it as "bacterial SSU rRNA". It matches the Rfam family "Bacterial small subunit ribosomal RNA", at positions 139 to 813 of the family's 1533-position model. The record is from RNAcentral.